This is a long non-coding RNA of Balaenoptera musculus (blue whale), 516 nucleotides long. RefSeq lists it as uncharacterized. The record is from RefSeq and is a predicted model, not a curated record. NCBI's taxonomy places the organism in Eukaryota, Metazoa, Chordata, Mammalia, Artiodactyla, Balaenopteridae. The transcript is spliced from 3 exons.
CCCUCCACAGCUUUCCAACAGUUAUAGUGGAGGGCGAGGGGGACACAAGACCUCCUAUCACCUGAUUCCAGGUCCUUGGCCAGAGGAGCAGUAGCCACCUUGUCCUGGUUCAGCCUGUCUUGAAGCUGCUUAUCGAUCUGAUUUUCAAUAUCUGUCACCAUCUCUGAAGUAGAAGGGCUGACAGACAACAGAAGGGACUUCCUGCCAGGGGAGGAGCUAUGAGCAGAAGGCAGUGGGAGCCCUCUCCUUCCUUGAAGACCAGGAAGAUGUGAUAUUUAAAGUGGAAAUGAGAGAACUGAAGUUCUGGAAAGGUGAGAAUCAAAUCUACAGCCCAUUCGUUCAGCAACUUCCUGUCUCCACGCCGUGAAGUUCAGCAGCGCAGCGGCGCAGAGGGAACUUGCACAGAUGGUUGUGGUGGCAUGGCCCCCGAUCUGUGAGGAAUUCUGGAGAAUAGAAGGGGAGCCAAAGACUGGAGGGGACACGGGUUCGAGCCCUGGCCUGGGAAGAUCCCACAUG